CGGCUGGGGACAAGGCGGGGAUGGUAGGGCGAGAGCCCGGCGUGGCGGUGGUUUAAAGUUACAGACUGCCUCGGAAUCACAGAAUCAAUUUGGUUGGAAAAGACGAGAUCACUGAGUUGAACUUAAGACUGAACACGAUGUAAACUAGACCAUGGCUCCAAGUGCCAUGCUCAGCCUUUCCUUAAACACGUUCAGGGAUGGUGACUCCACCACCUCCCCCGGCAGUCCUUUCCAAUGUCUAAUCACCAUUUCUGUGAAACAACAACGACAAGUUCUGGUGCAGUUUAAGACUUAAGUCCUCUCAUCCUGUCCCUGGUUGUCUGGGAGAAGAGACCAACCCUCAACGGGCUACAACAUCCCUUCAUGUAGAAAGUCUUACAAAGCAUGCAUAAUUAACACUUUUAUUACAAAUGGUAUGGAAAACA
Molecule: long non-coding RNA, 425 nt
Organism: Vidua macroura (Pin-tailed whydah)
Lineage: Eukaryota; Metazoa; Chordata; Aves; Passeriformes; Viduidae
Exons: 2
Source: RefSeq, a predicted model, not a curated record